UACGUAGGGGGCAAGCGUUGUCCGGAAUUAUUGGGCGUAAAGCGCGCGCAGGCGGUUUUUUAAGUCUGGUGUCUAAGGCUGGGGCUCAACCCCGGUUCGCACCGGAAACUGGAAGACUGGAGUGCAGGAGAGGGAAGCGGAAUUCCACGUGUAGCGGUGAAAUGCUUAGAUAUGACAUAGAACACCCAUUGCGAAGGCAGCUUACUACACGAUCAUUGACGCUGAGGCACGAAAGCGUGGGGAGCAAACAGG
RNAcentral lists this ribosomal RNA (252 nucleotides) under uncultured bacterium. RNAcentral describes it as "partial 16S ribosomal RNA". It matches the Rfam family "Bacterial small subunit ribosomal RNA", at positions 524 to 776 of the family's 1533-position model. The record is from RNAcentral.